This 157-nucleotide unclassified non-coding RNA is filed under the name soil metagenome. RNAcentral describes it as "partial internal transcribed spacer 1". The record is from RNAcentral.
CAGGACUCGCAAGACUCCUACAACCCUGUGAACCUACUAUACGAACGUUGCUUCGGCGGGUGCGCCCCGGGGAUUCGUUCCCGCGGCGCGUCAGCCCGCCGGCAGCCUACAAAUUCUGUUUCAUUGCGUUGGCAUCUCGAGAAAAACAAAUAAGUUA